This 65-nucleotide transfer RNA is filed under the name Phocaeicola vulgatus. Its description in RNAcentral is "Bacteroides vulgatus tRNA-Thr". It matches the Rfam family "tRNA", at positions 6 to 65 of the family's 71-position model. Rfam says of the family: Transfer RNA (tRNA) molecules are approximately 80 nucleotides in length. The record is from RNAcentral. Lineage: Bacteria; Pseudomonadati; Bacteroidota; Bacteroidia; Bacteroidales; Bacteroidaceae.
UAUAGCUCAGUGGUAGAGCACUUCCUUGGUAAGGAAGAGGUCACGAGUUCAAGUCUCGNUGAUUU